GGCCAGACUCCUACGGGAGGCAGCAGUGGGGGAUAUUGCACAAUGGGGGGAACCCUGAUGCAGCGACGCCGCGUGGGUGAAGGAGCGUUUCGGCGCGUAAAGCCCUAUCGGCAGGGAAGAAGGGGGACGGUACCUGACUAAGAAGCCCCGGCUAACUACGUGCCAGCAGCCGCGGUAAUAAGUAGGAGGCAAGCGUUAUCCGGAUUUACUGGGUGUAAAGGGAGCGUAGACGGCAGUGCAAGUCUGGAGUGAAAGGCGGGGGCGCAACCCCCGGACUGCUCUGGAACCGGUGCGGCUGGAGUGCAGGAGAGGUAAGUGGAAUUCCUAGGGUAGCGGUGAAAUGCGUAGAUAUUAGGAGGAACACCAGUGGCGAAGGCGGCCUGCUGGACUGCGACUGACGUUGAGGCCCGAAAGCGUGGGGAGCAAACAGGAUUAGAUACCCCUGUACG
Molecule: ribosomal RNA, 449 nt
Filed under: uncultured bacterium
Lineage: Bacteria
Description: partial 16S ribosomal RNA
Rfam family: Bacterial small subunit ribosomal RNA
Source: RNAcentral